RNAcentral lists this long non-coding RNA (617 nucleotides) under Chrysemys picta bellii (western painted turtle). RNAcentral describes it as "lncRNA (ENSCPBG00000007604.1)". Lineage: Eukaryota; Metazoa; Chordata; Testudines; Emydidae. The record is from RNAcentral.
UGCAAUAUCUGUAUUAUAAUCAGCCUUUUUAGUAUCUAUUUUUUUCUUCAGAAAGAAAAUCAAAUCCACUGUGACACUGAAGUCCUAUGACAGUGGAAUUCUACUGGAAAAUAAAAUGCGAGGAGAUGCUGGAUCCAAAUUCAGAGAUGAGUUACUGUGAAAAUCUGGACCCUACAUUUUUACUUUGGCAGUCUGCUGAACUAGAAUCACAUCCAUACACUGCUGAGUCAUCCCAUUGUCAGUUAUGGGUCUGAAUCUGCUCUCACGUGCUCCAGUCUGAAUCGGAAGUAAUUCCACUGAACUCAAGCAACCUAACACCAGUUUAAGGGAAAGGAGAAUCAGGGUGAUCAUGUUUGCGGGAUUCAAUCUCAAAUGUGUUACUCCAAUUUUGCUCCAGCUUAACUCCAUUCACAUCAUUGGAAUUACAACAGCUAAAAGUGGUGUUACAGAGUGUUGACUGUGGCCCUGUAUGUGUAUGUUCUGUGUUAAUAGAAAUCUGUCAAGACCUGUUAAUGUACUGAUCACAGAUAUGGACCUGCAAAUCCUUUCCACAAUUGUUACCUCCGAUAUUAAUAAUUUAUCAUUUUAAAAAUGUGAAUUAAUUUAUAUUUAAAGAG